This 497-nucleotide ribosomal RNA is filed under the name uncultured bacterium. RNAcentral's name for it is "partial 16S ribosomal RNA". It matches the Rfam family "Bacterial small subunit ribosomal RNA", at positions 28 to 507 of the family's 1533-position model. The record is from RNAcentral.
GACGAACGCUGGCGGCGUGCCUAAUACAUGCAAGUCGAACGCUGAAGGAAGGAGCUUGCUCUUUCUGGAUGAGUUGCGAACGGGUGAGUAACGCGUAGGUAACCUGCCUGGUAGCGGGGGAUAACUAUUGGAAACGAUAGCUAAUACCGCAUAAAAUUGAUUAUUGCAUGAUAGUCAAUUAAAAGGUGCAACUGCACCACUACCAGAUGGACCUGCGUUGUAUUAGCUAGUUGGUGGGGUAACGGCUCACCAAGGCGACGAUACAUAGCCGACCUGAGAGGGUGAUCGGCCACACUGGGACUGAGACACGGCCCAGACUCCUACGGGAGGCAGCAGUAGGGAAUCUUCGGCAAUGGACGGAAGUCUGACCGAGCAACGCCGCGUGAGUGAAGAAGGUUUUCGGAUCGUAAAGCUCUGUUGUAAGAGAAGAACGAGUGUGAGAGUGGAAAGUUCACACUGUGACGGUAGCUUACCAGAAAGGGACGGCUAACUACGUG